Molecule: non-coding RNA, 92 nt
Organism: Mycena vulgaris
Lineage: Eukaryota; Fungi; Basidiomycota; Agaricomycetes; Agaricales; Mycenaceae
Source: the annotation of a GenBank genome assembly
GGCCGCGUGGCAUAGUGGUUAGUGCUGCUGACUGACUUGAACUAGAAAUGGAAUCAUGUCAGCUGGCUGUGGCUCGAGUCCGGCCGCGCCCG